AUAUAUUAUUCAUAUAAUAUAUUAAUAAACCAUAAUAUCCUCUCUCUUCAUAAAUCAUCAUGUCAAGUUGCUUUAGUGAAGCCAACCCAAAAGGACCAUGCAACAACCAGGUCAAGUACAUACCAAAUAUAGUUAGGGACUUAGACACUAAUCCAACAAAAUUUUCAUUUUAAAUAAGUCAAAACCAUUCAUACAUUAUCCCAAAAGACAAUUAGAGUAAAAUUAUUCUCAAAACAUCAGAGUAAAAUCAUAAAUAGUCAUUGUGGAAUAAAUCUUCAGGGGAUGCAGUACGAUCAAGUCGGGCUCUUCUUUUUAAAACUGGAAGUACCUGAAAAUGUUUUAACCACAAAAACGUAAACACAAAGCUUUGUGAGUUCCCUAAAAUACCACAUACGACAUAUAUACAAAUAUAAAAGCACAUGGUUGUGUCGGGUCCGUAUCAACCUGAUUCCAUAAUGACUAUGUGUAACAACUUGUAGUUGUGUCAUGUUUGUAUCAACCCCUAGGUCCAUAUCAACCCUUAGUCCAUAAUAACUCUAUAUAACAACUUGUAGCUAUGUUGGGUCUAUAUCAACUCCUAGGCCUGUAUCAACCCUGAGUCCAUAAUGACUCUAUAUAACAGCUUGUAUUUAUGUCAAGUCUGUUUCACCCCACAUACAUAAGCAUACAAACAUAUAAGUACGAGUCAAAAAGACAAUAAACACAUACAGACAUAUCAACAAAUGUCACAAAGACAACCAUCAUCAUGUUAACAUAAUUUAGUGGGUCGACAUUGGUGUCUUCUUAUGGGUAUUAUUUUGGAUUAGGUGUCUAAGCCCAUAACUAUAAUUGGUAUGUACUUGAUUUGAUAGUAGCAUGGUCCUUUUGGGUUGCGUUCACACUAGCAAUUAGACAGGAUGACUAUUGGAGAGAGAGGCUGAUUUUAUUGUUUAGAAUAAUAAUUUGGUGCAUAAAUAUGAUGUAUUAAUAUAUUAAUUAGCAAUCAUAUUGUUAAUAACUAUUUAAUCAAAAAUUAAGUUGGAAUUAAUUUUGGGAUUAAAGGAAUGGACUAAAAGUGCAGGGGUUAUUUUGUAAAUAUUUGAUAGUUAAGGUUUUGGGCCAUUAGAUCACCCUUAUUAGGGGGGGGGGGGCAAAAAUCCCUAGAAGGUUCUAGAGAUUUUAGUCCAAGCCCUAAGGAAGAGGUCCAUGGACUUGCUUAGGCCCUAAGCUAAGGAAUUAGGGUUUCCACCUUAAAACCCUAGCUAGCCUCAAGUAUAAAUAGAGCCUCUUUGCUCUUGAAUUCGGCCACCCCUUUGGAAACCCUAAAAGAGACGAUUUCUGGAGCAAGUCACUCUCUCUCCUCUCUCUCAUAUUCAUCCUCUUGCCAUAUUGUGUUUGUGAGCUAUUAGAGGUACUACAAUUGUGGUACUUGUUCUCAAGAGCAAAGAAUCUUCAAGAAUUGAUUGUUAUUACUAUAUGGAAACAAAGGUAUGUAAUCUAAUCUUUGUAGAUUUUGAUUCAUUAGAUGCAUAUUAGGUUUGUUUUUUGUGUUCAAUGCUUGUAUGUAUAAUAGAGAAAACAUAGAUCCAAAUCUAGGGUUGCAUGCACAUAUAUGAUUGUUUGUAUAACACCCAUUAGUGGUAUCAGAGCCAGGUUUUGUAUAAAACCCUAGUAUUUUGAAAAUUUUAAAAUACACCCUUAUACUAUAUAUAAUUAAAAGUUUAAUAUUAUAUAUGUAUAAGAAAAUUCGGUAUUACUAUUAGUAGGCCUCAUUCACGAAGCUGAACUAUAAGGGGUGUUUAAGAAAGUGGCCUAUAAAAUGACUUCCAUUGGGUAUACACUCUUAGAGGGUCGUUAGCCGAACGGGUAGGAUAGGACAUCAAUUCUCUCAUUAAUAAGUAUAAUGAUCUAUAGAAAGUAACUAAAAGUUUUUAUAAAUUUCCCAAUCUUAGUUACUUUAGGAAAAUGUGAAUUUGAUGCUAAUCCAUGAAAUUACACAUUGCACCUUGCCAAGUCGUUAGUGGAGCGUGUGUGGUUAACCAGCACACAAACUUGGACUAAAGUGCAUGGUUAUUCACACCUUGUUUGUGAUCCUCGGUAUCCCAGUCACAAAAUUGAAGGGCAUAAUCGAGAUUAAACAUGCCACUGAAUAGUUCAAUGAAUCUAGGAAUUUCAUUUCAUUUAAAACCUAAUUCUUUUAAUUUCGUUUUUCGUGGUGGAAUUGGUAAAUCGUCAUUUACCUACCUUCAAAUAAUUUACAAUUGGAUUACGACAUCCCUUUUCUAAAUUGUGAAUUAUUGUGUUGGGUCCUAGCCUUAAUAUUUCAUUUUGGAUGUUAUAUUAAGGAUUUCUUAUCUAAUCAAAACUUUGUCCUUCUUCUUUUGUAGAUGUCUACCUCAAACAACGCUUUUGGUUCCUCCAACAACAACUCCAAAUACUCCUUCUCGCUCUUGAAAAUUUGUAUGAGGAUCAAAUUCGAUGGUUCCAAUUUCAAUGAUUGGAUCUGGAACAUUCGAAUGGCCUUGCAUUACGAGGACAAAGAGUAUGUCCUUGAAAAACCGUUUAACGAGAUUGAUGACUUCAAAGCUACUCCCGAAGAAAUAGCUAAGUAUGGGGCUCACUACAAGGAUGCUACUAAGGUGUCAUGUAUUAUGGUAGCCACCAUGACUCCUGAGCUACAACAGUUCUACGAGGACUAGUGGCCUUACGAUAUGUGCAUGGACUUAAUGGAAAAGUGUAACGUCUGGGAUUUAUAAGGUACUAUUCUUAUUUAUAUAAGGUUAAUAGUUUUAAAAAUGUUUGGGCUUAGACCUUUGGGCCCUUGUAAUUGGGCUGAGAAAGCACUGUACGCGGAGCGUACAUUGCCAUGUACGCUCAACGUACUCAAGAGAUUGGAACGCGGAAGCCAUGCAUGUACGCCUAGCGUACCAAAGGGUACGUGCAGUGUACGCAUGCAGAUUCUAAAACCCUAAGUUUUAGGGUUUGAUCCCUAUAUAAAGGACCUUAUGCCUUUGGUCCAACCUCCCGCUCACCCUUAGACAACCACCACGAAAACCCUAACCCAUAUUUGUGUGUUCCUGUGAUUUGGUAGCCACUUGAGAGCAUUUUAGUGUUGUUUUGGUGUUUUGGAAGAGAAAGAAGUUUGAAGAAUGAGCAAGGAUUCAAAGGGAGCUUCUAGACCCAUGAGAUUAGCACCAUUUCUGACUCAUUUGAGGUAUCAAGCUUCAAGCUUGAUCAUUGCAUGCUUAGAUUUGAUAUUAGGGUGUUUUUAUGUCACUUUUGGACUCUAUUGUUGAGGCUUCUUAUAUCUUGAUAGUUUCAGACCAUAAGAGCUGUCCUUUUGAGCUCUUAGAAACACUUAGAGCCAUAAAAACCGGACCUAACAACCCGUCAACCCGUUUAUUAAACGGGUCAUAUAUGGAUUUCUCAAAAAAUAANGUAAUUAUGUAUCAAGUAUUAAUAUUUAAUAAGUAUUAUCUAUGUUUGUAUUUAAUGUUUAGUUUGAACAUGUUUCUAUGAGUGUUUUUAAUUUUAAUUUGGAUGUUUAAGACUUAAGUAGUUAAGUGUCUAAAAUUUGGAUAUGUUUGCAUCAACCAUCAAAAAUUUAUUCAUGUUUAAUUGUCAAUUUUAUUUAUCGAAUCUGACCCACGAACCCAAAUCUGACCUACGAACCCGCAAACCUGUGAACCCGUAUAAUUAAAUGGGUUGGUGGGUCAUAUAUGAGUUUAUGUUCCAAACCCGCCAACUCGUGACCUGUAUAUUUAAAUGAGUCGUGUUUGGGUUGAUAUAUUUUGACCCGUCAACCCGCGACAUGCCAACCCGAAUACGACAUGAUUGUCAGACCUAAAUUGAUGGAAUAAACAAAUUUAUAGAAAAUUUUAAUUAUAGUUAAAAGAAAAUUAACCGUCAUUCGAACAUUUUAAUAUUUGAACUUUAUAUAUGGAUGCCGUUUUUGGUCAUCUUACUGUUACUUCCUUAAAUAAUCAGAAUUUGUUCUUCAAAUAUUAAUCAACAGGUUAAAUGCACGAAAUGACAAUGCACUUCUAUCGACAAUGAAUAUUAUAUUUUUAAAUGAGUCGUGUUUGGGUUGAUAUAUUUUGACCCGUCAACCCACGACAUGCCAACCCGAAUACGACAUGAUUGUCAGACCUAAAUUGAUGGAAUAAACAAAUUUAUAGAAAAUUUUAAUUAUAGUUAAAAGAAAAUUAACCGUCAUUCGAACAUUUUAAUAUUUGAACUUUAUAUAUGGAUGCCGUUUUUGGUCAUCUUACUGUUACUUCCUUAAAUAAUCAGAAUUUGUUCUUCAAAUAUUAAUCAACAGGUUAAAUGCACGAAAUGACAAUGCACUUCUAUCGACAAUGAAUAUUAUAUUUUUGAGAUUAGUAAACAGAUUAACAUUCUUCUAUUUUUAUUUAAACAAAUGAUAUUUGUCUUUUUUCGUCAACUGGUAGUCAUGGAGUGCUUAAAGUUCACUAUAAUCUGGUAGUCAUGGAGUGCUUAAAGUUCACUAUAAUGGAAAACAAGGAGAUUACUAUGUUAUGGUAUGAUAAUAGUUAAUAGGAUUUUAGUUUAUUUAAAUGAAUAAGUACAUAACAUUUCUUUUUUCUCUAUUUUCAUUGCAGGCCAUGGACAAGGAGGAUAAUAGGUUGACGUUACCUUAAUUUUUUUGCACUUCUUACUUUAAUUGUUCUAUACUCUAAAGUGAUAUUACUAUAAUGAUUUUAGAGAUCGUAAUUGGAAAGGAAGAUGUUGAGUAUAUUAGAUGGCUUUUGUUUUGUUUGAAUGGAAUAGUUUUAAGGUAAUUGAACAUUAUACUCUUAUUUUAAACAACAAAGGGUAAAAUAGUACAAUAUUAUUUAUGUUUUAUUUGAAAUGUUGUAGGUUUGUUGAGAUGGCACAUCAUCUAACAUAUUUCUCUUGAAAGCUGUUAAAAACUCAACAAAAUAAAAUCCCUAAAUAUGAUUAGGUCGGUGUCCUAUCGUUUCAAUUACAACAUAAAACAUUCUCUAUAUUCCUAUUUUUAGGAUAUUGCAACAAGGUAUGAUGCAAUUUAAGAGAGAAGUAAUGUAUUUUUAUGACUUUGUGUAGUAACUAAACCUUUUGUAUUUAUUUUAAUUUCCCCUGUCACAUAAAUAGAUGACACAAAUAAAUUAUAUGAAUAAAUGUAGGCAUUAGAUGAUAAAAUAGAUCUUGCUGUAGACAUGUACUCUGGAAUUGGCGAAUUGAAGUCAUGAAGGAUCAUAAAAUGAUACAAUAUUGCAUGGAAUGAUAACUGAGGUCUAAAUCAAUUAUCAAAAAAUAACAAAUGUUUGCAAUUUCUGAGUCUCCUGUGAUGGCGAAAAGAAAUCAAAGCCUAUGAAUUGAUUGUAAACAAAAACAUGAAAAUGAAGAUAAAUGCCUUCUUGACAAAAAAUAAAAUCUAAAAAUUUAUGAAAGAAAUAAAUAAUUUGGUUACAUACCUUUAAAUUUGUUUUCUCCAUGAUCAAAGAAACGUUCAAUUUUUUGGUGUUUGCGGGAUUCUUCUCUAGUUAUUAUUAGACAUUAAAUUUAGUGUUUUUAACCAUCCCUGUAAUUGUGUAGAGAAAACCUCAAAGGCUGCAAGUAGUUUGAAGAAGAUGUUGGAUGAUGGUAAAAUCGAGCAUAAUGAAGGAAAUUUUGAUGGAAAUGAGAUUGGGAUGGACAAACAAGAUAUUUAUUGACAUGACACUAGGCCCCAUUACACAUACCCAAAAUGUUGAAGGGCCCAAUUUUUUUUAAGUGUAAGUAGGCUAUAAGAAAUAAUCUUAUAAUUGGAAGCGUGAACAAUGUAUUAUUAUUCACUGAUUUUGGAACAUGAAAAGUAUAAAAAA
RNAcentral lists this long non-coding RNA (5828 nucleotides) under Lactuca sativa (garden lettuce). RNAcentral's name for it is "long non-coding RNA (LSAT_LNC005007)". The record is from RNAcentral. Lineage: Eukaryota; Viridiplantae; Streptophyta; Magnoliopsida; Asterales; Asteraceae.